This 465-nucleotide ribosomal RNA is filed under the name uncultured bacterium. Its description in RNAcentral is "partial 16S ribosomal RNA". It matches the Rfam family "Bacterial small subunit ribosomal RNA", at positions 28 to 507 of the family's 1533-position model. The record is from RNAcentral.
GACGAACGCUGGCGGCGUGCUUAACACAUGCAAGUCGAACGGAAAGGCCCCUUUGGGGGUACUCGAGUGGCGAACGGGUGAGUAACACGUGAGUAACCUGCCCUUGACUUCGGGAUAACUUCAGGAAACUGGGGCUAAUACCGGAUAGGAAUCCUUGCUGCAUGGUGGGGGUUGGAAAGCUUCGGCGGUUUUGGAUGGACUCGCGGCUUAUCAGCUUGUUGGUGGGGUAGUGGCUUACCAAGGCUUUGACGGGUAGCCGGCCGGAGAGGGCGACCGGCCACAUUGGGACUGAGAUACGGCCCAGACACCUACGGGAGGCAGCAGUGGGGAAGAGUGCACAAUGGGCGGAAGCCUGAUGCAGCAACGCCGCGUGCGGGAUGACGGCCUUCGGGUUGUAAACCGCUUUCAGCAGGGGCGAAGCUUGUGGUGACGGUACCUGCAGAAGAAGCACCGGCUAACUACGUG